Molecule: long non-coding RNA, 1688 nt
Filed under: Vigna radiata
Lineage: Eukaryota; Viridiplantae; Streptophyta; Magnoliopsida; Fabales; Fabaceae
Description: long non-coding RNA (VRAD_LNC002081)
Source: RNAcentral
UUGCAUAUUAGAAAUGCAGUAUAGCUAGGGAAUGACCCCUAGGUCGUCUCUCAAGGAACAAUUUUGCGGUUCGAGAAUCGAGUCUAACACGAAAAGGGGGGGUUGAAAGUGUGUUGCAAAAUUUAACGAUAUCAAUAUAAAGACACAGAUGCAAACAAUCCAAUUUGAGCUAGCAUGGUAAUUAAACUAACACCAUUAAAAACCUUAGACAACAUUUAAAUAUCAAACAUUGUUAUCAAUUAAUUAGCAAACACAGUUAAAAAUAAUUAAAUGCAAAACUAACUUAAACACAUGAAGACAACUCAACCUACUAAUUAAACUAAGUGAAAACAAGAGAAAUUAACAAGCCUAUUUUACUUCUAGUAAAUUAAGUGACCCAAUAUGAAAUUAAAAAAUAAAUUAAAAGUCCAAAUGGCCUAAGGAAACCUCUUGGCCGUGAGUCAUGUUUCAACAAGUCAAACUUCAAUUUCCACCUUCAAUAAGCCACCAAAAUGUGUUGACUUCUUGUCCCAUGUGCACCAUUCUUCAAGGAAAUAAGCAUGUGCCUUAAACACACAAUAAAACCAUGUUUUCCUCCCUUCCCAUGCAGCAAAAACGUGAUUGUACACACCAAGGCACAAAAAAAGCGAACUACCAAGUGGAAAUGCCAAAAACUGCUUCAAACCAAAGGUUAAAUGUAAGAUACUUUGGGUGCUCCAACCAAGAUGCCAUGUAAGCAAAGUCAAAGGAAAUUAAACACCAAAAACCUCCAUUCUCAAGAGUGAUUCUCGGCAGCAACAAGGAGAAGACAAAAACCAAAAAAGGAAAUCUUCUUUCUAUGAAAAUUGUCUCAUAUUGUGCUUGUCCAAAAAAAAAUUAAAUGCACCCUUUUCUCUCACUUCCAAUCUCAAUUUCGGUUUUCUUUCCUCUCAACCACCACCCAAAGCUUUCUUCUCUUCACAUUACCAAGAAUGAACCCCAAGAAACCAAAGUUUAAGUUGCAAAUGAGCACAAGAACAAUAAACCCCAAACUUCUACUCAUCAACCCAACUUUAACACUACCAUUUCUUCAAGUUUCUUUGCAAAAACGAAAAUAAUAUCUUAGCCAUUCAACUCAAGCAAUGUCCAGCCCCAAUAACAUCAUCAAACUCUGGUUUCAAACAUCAAAACCGAAAUAUGGAAGAAAAGAGCCAAACCCACAACACCCACACAACACCUUAAGCUCUCUUUAACCCAAAACUCACAUAGAACCUCAUUUUCAUCAACCAACCAACCAUAAUGCAAAGAAAAACGUGAGGAACAGCAGUAAAGGAGAGGAAAAACAAAACUAUAAAGUCACUCAAACCCAAGAAUCACCAUUGAAAUGCAAAGAAAAGCUUAAAAGCUCAAGCUUCAAACAUCAAAAACAAGCAAAUGGAAGAAGGAAUGAAAGGAUUUUCACCACCAAUGAGUUAAGACAGCCAAGAUUAAAGCAAGAGAAGAAUAAAAUCUGCAACUUUGUUCAUUCAAAUAGCCAAAACCGAAAAUCCCAUGGCAAGCUCCAAGAGAGAGUCUUCAUACAUGACAACCUAGAAGAAAUGAAGCAAAAACCGUGAGCUAUGGAAGUGUUGGUGUGUGGCUCGGUUUUCCCACCCCAUUUGACCAAGAGUUUUUAAUUUUGGUGGGUUCCACACACUACAAGUCAGCCCUAAAGGGAUGCAACAUGGCCC